AUUGAACGCUGGCGGCAUGCCUUACACAUGCAAGUCGAACGGCAGCACGGGAGCAAUCCUGGUGGCGAGUGGCGAACGGGUGAGUAAUACAUCGGAACGUGCCCAGUAGUGGGGGAUAGCCCGGCGAAAGCCGGAUUAAUACCGCAUGAGACUUGAGGGUGAAAGCGGGGGAUCGCAAGACCUCGCGCUAUUGGAGCGGCCGAUGUCAGAUUAGCUAGUUGGUGGGGUAAAGGCCUACCAAGGCAACGAUCUGUAGUUGGUCUGAGAGGACGACCAGCCACACUGGGACUGGGACACGGCCCAGACUCCUACGGGAGGCAGCAGUGGGGAAUUUUGGACAAUGGGCGCAAGCCUGAUCCAGCAAUGCCGCGUGCAGGAAGAAGGCCUUCGGGUUGUAAACUGCUUUUGUCAGGGAAGAAAUCCUCUGGGUUAAUACCUCGGGGGGAUGACGGUACCUGAAGAAUAAGCACCGGCUAACUACGUGCCAGCCGCCGCGGUAA
This 500-nucleotide ribosomal RNA is filed under the name uncultured bacterium. Its description in RNAcentral is "partial 16S ribosomal RNA". It matches the Rfam family "Bacterial small subunit ribosomal RNA", at positions 29 to 523 of the family's 1533-position model. The record is from RNAcentral.